GGGAUGUAAGUUAGUGGUAGAGCCCUUGCUUAGAAUGCAUGAGGCCCUGGGUUCGAUCCCCAGUAAUUUCU
Molecule: transfer RNA, 71 nt
Filed under: Marmota monax (woodchuck)
Lineage: Eukaryota; Metazoa; Chordata; Mammalia; Rodentia; Sciuridae
Description: tRNA.Ser
Source: RNAcentral